This 253-nucleotide ribosomal RNA is filed under the name uncultured bacterium. RNAcentral's name for it is "partial 16S ribosomal RNA". It matches the Rfam family "Bacterial small subunit ribosomal RNA", at positions 524 to 776 of the family's 1533-position model. The record is from RNAcentral.
UACGGAGGGUGCGAGCGUUGUCCGGAAUCACUGGGCGUAAAGGGCGCGUAGGCGGCCCGGUAAGUAGGGGGUGAAAUCUUGCGGCUCAACCGCAAGGCUGCCUUCUAAACUGCCAGGCUCGAGCACAGUAGAGGCAGGUGGAAUUCCCGGUGUAGCGGUGGAAUGCGUAGAGAUCGGGAAGAACAUCGGUGGCGAAGGCGGCCUGCUGGGCUGUUGCUGACGCUGAGGCGCGACGGCGUGGGGAGCAAACAGG